RNAcentral lists this ribosomal RNA (406 nucleotides) under uncultured bacterium. RNAcentral's name for it is "partial 16S ribosomal RNA". It matches the Rfam family "Bacterial small subunit ribosomal RNA", at positions 29 to 526 of the family's 1533-position model. The record is from RNAcentral.
AUUGAACGCUGGCGGCAGGCCUAACACAUGCAAGUCGAACGCGUGGCGGACGGGUGAGAAAUGUCGGGGAAACUGCCUGAUGGAGGGGGAUAACUAGGGGAAACGGAAGCAAAUACCGAAUACCUGCGGAUUAGAGCAGAUGGGGUUAGCCAGUAGGUGGGGUAAAGGCUCACCUAGGCGACGAUCCCUAGCCGGUCUGAGAGGAUGACCAGCCACACUGGAACUGAGACACGGUCCAGACUCCUACGGGAGGCAGCAGUGGGGAAUAUUGCGCAAUGGGCGAAAGCCUGAUGCAGCCAUGCCGCGUGUAUGAAGAAGGUCUUCGGGUUGUAAAGUACUUUCAGUGGGGAGGCGUUACCCAAACAAGAAGCACCGGCUAACUCCGUGCCAGCAGCCGCGGUAAUUC